Molecule: long non-coding RNA, 1875 nt
Organism: Scylla paramamosain (green mud crab)
Lineage: Eukaryota; Metazoa; Arthropoda; Malacostraca; Decapoda; Portunidae
Exons: 3
Source: RefSeq, a predicted model, not a curated record
AACAAUUCUCUCUUACUGCUCUUUCUAAUCCUCAAAGUCAGUAAUGAGCGACACCCCAAGAUUCCAAACAACUCCCUCAAAUCUUUAAAGUCUCCACCUACUCGUCUAGAAACUUAAAAAACACUCCUACAUGCACUGUGUCGCUUUUCCUUCGAGGAGAGCAUUAGUACUCAACUAUUGCAAGGUCCAAAAGAUAUACUGCUGGCUGUUCUUCAUUUGUGUUCUCGUGGUGGCGUGGUGCCGGCACGUCGCGGGUCUCUUUGGUUCCGUCCUAUGAGGCAAAGGUGGCCAUUUGUUAUGCUCGAAAGAGUCAGGGUACGAAUAUACAGCAGGAGGAUAAAGAGAGAGAGAAGGAUGUUGAAUUUCUCUUUAACUCCUCCGGGGAGAACACAGUAGAAGUCUGAGAGGAAGACUUAACCAUUCAGUACUGCAGAUAACUUCUAAACUUCCCAAAAUGCUUUAUUGGUUGUCAAAAACGGAACAAGUAGAUAUCAAACUGUGGUCGAUAAGUAACUCCAGAUUAUUUUUUGCCCUUGGAUUGUGAAAGAAAUCAUCGUUAAGCCAGUAAAACCCUCUAAUGGCAUUCAGAAGCAAGCGAAACUGAUGUUAUGUUUAGGUACUUAACUUCAUCAAUAUUCUGUAUGGGAGAAACAAUUGCCUUUUAUGUGAGUUGUGAUAACUCACCCGGUGUCAUCAUUCUGGCGACAACACACCAACUUCUAAAUUUACUGAACACAAAUUAUACCACGUUUAACAGAUUCAGUAAACAUGAAAGUAGCUUGUGUUUAUUCUUCAUCUUUACAGAAUGUAAUGCACAGUAACAGUAUAUGUGUGGGCACUUUCAUUCAAGAUGCUCACAACUCCUCAUCUCUGUCCUCUCAGGUGGACGCCGCGCCGAGUUGUCUGCAGAACACCACACACUACUCAGUAUCGCCUACAGCGCCUCCACAACACCCUGCAAACGAGUCCUAUUCUCUCCGGGACACGUUCAUUCCUCCUCCUGCAGGCCAGUAUUCAAAAACGCUUUGCUCUCACCACGAUUACUUUCAAAGGCCACAGAUAUGACUAGCCGGAUUCCCAAGGUUGCUUCUCCUGUUGCUAACAUGGAAAUCUUGUUAAUCUGUCACUAAAACCAUAAGAGCAGCCUUAAAAGCCCGUGUCACUUCAACUAGAGCCUUUUGAAAAGCGUGGAGUUGCGGACAAAAGUGUUUCAGAGUAUGGUCCACAGUCCCGCUGUCCUCCCGCGUCUCUCCUCUCCGUGACCACACCAGAACAGAGGCCAGCCGUCCAACACCCACCUCGCACCUCCUGCCUCUCAUGGUCUCCAGGAGCCUGCACAUCUGCGAACUGAGAAUGGGACGACCGCAAGAGUACCACACACUCCAGCCCGCCUCGCCCUGCCUGGCUUGCUAUCACGAGCACCAUUAGUUCAGCCAACAAGCACACGGAUGUGUGAGAAUGAACAGCACCGCCUAAUUCCGUUUCGUCAUUCCCCUUCUUCAGUCGAGCGGGAUCAUGGGGGACGCUGGUAACUUAACACGACAUGACGGUACACGGAGCGCCGGUGACAACCCAGGAAUGUUAACAUGCGAGGGGCAACCAGCGGAGGUGUGCGGGAGGCAAGGUCGGACUGGCUGAGUGACUGAGUGAGUGAGUGAGUGAGUUGGUUGAAUGUUGUGUUGUGGGGCUGCUUGUUCUUUAGCCACGAGAGGAAAUGUUGUGUGUGUGUGUGUGUGUGUGUGUGUGUGUGUGUGUGUGUGUGUGUGUGGGUGAAUGGGUUGGUGGAGGGGAUUGGUGUGUUUGUGUGGGACAUGGGAUGGAGUCAGGCAGAGAAGUUAGUGACUCUCUCUCUCUCUCUCUCUCUCUCUCUCUCUC